This 533-nucleotide ribosomal RNA is filed under the name Chaetomium globosum. Its description in RNAcentral is "eukaryotic LSU rRNA". The stretch from base 184 to 337 matches the Rfam family "5.8S ribosomal RNA". The record is from RNAcentral. Lineage: Eukaryota; Fungi; Ascomycota; Sordariomycetes; Sordariales; Chaetomiaceae.
GAUCAUUACAGAGUUGCAAAACUCCCUAAACCAUUGUGAACGUUACCUAUACCGUUGCUUCGGCGGGCGGCCCCGGGGUUUACCCCCCGGGCGCCCCUGGGCCCCACCGCGGGCGCCCGCCGGAGGUCACCAAACUCUUGAUAAUUUAUGGCCUCUCUGAGUCUUCUGUACUGAAUAAGUCAAAACUUUCAACAACGGAUCUCUUGGUUCUGGCAUCGAUGAAGAACGCAGCGAAAUGCGAUAAGUAAUGUGAAUUGCAGAAUUCAGUGAAUCAUCGAAUCUUUGAACGCACAUUGCGCCCGCCAGCAUUCUGGCGGGCAUGCCUGUUCGAGCGUCAUUUCAACCAUCAAGCCCCCGGGCUUGUGUUGGGGACCUGCGGCUGCCGCAGGCCCUGAAAAGCAGUGGCGGGCUCGCUGUCGCACCGAGCGUAGUAGCAUACAUCUCGCUCUGGUCGCGCCGCGGGUUCCGGCCGUUAAACCACCUUUUAACCCAAGGUUGACCUCGGAUCAGGUAGGAAGACCCGCUGAACUUAA